This 403-nucleotide ribosomal RNA is filed under the name uncultured bacterium. RNAcentral describes it as "bacterial SSU rRNA". It matches the Rfam family "Bacterial small subunit ribosomal RNA", at positions 505 to 908 of the family's 1533-position model. The record is from RNAcentral.
GAGCCAGCAGCCGCGGUAAUACGGAGGGGGUUAGCGUUGUUCGGAAUUACUGGGCGUAAAGCGUACGUAGGCGGAUUAGUCAGUCAGAGGUGAAAUCCCAGGGCUCAACCCUGGAACUGCCUUUGAUACUGCUAGUCUUGAGUUCGAGAGAGGUGAGUGGAAUUCCAAGUGUAGAGGUGAAAUUCGUAGAUAUUUGGAGGAACACCAGUGGCGAAGGCGGCUCACUGGCUCGAUACUGACGCUGAGGUACGAAAGUGUGGGGAGCAAACAGGAUUAGAUACCCUGGUAGUCCACACCGUAAACGAUGAAUGCCAGUCGUCGGGCAGUAUACUGUUCGGUGACACACCUAACGGAUUAAGCAUUCCGCCUGGGGAGUACGGUCGCAAGAUUAAAACUCAAAUGA